UACGUAGGCAGCAAGCGUUGUUCGGAGUUACUGGGCGUAAAGGGUGUGUAGGCGGUUCUUUAAGUUUGGUGUGAAAUCUCCCGGCUCAACUGGGAGGGUGCGCCGAAUACUGAGGGACUAGAGUACGGGAGAGGAAAGUGGAAUUCCUGGUGUAGCGGUGAAAUGCGUAGAUAUCAGGAGGAACACCGGUGGCGAAGGCGGCUCUCUGGGUCGGACCCGACGCUGAGGCGCGAAAGCGUGGGGAGCGAACGGG
Molecule: ribosomal RNA, 253 nt
Filed under: uncultured bacterium
Lineage: Bacteria
Description: partial 16S ribosomal RNA
Rfam family: Bacterial small subunit ribosomal RNA
Source: RNAcentral